This 497-nucleotide ribosomal RNA is filed under the name uncultured bacterium. Its description in RNAcentral is "partial 16S ribosomal RNA". It matches the Rfam family "Bacterial small subunit ribosomal RNA", at positions 28 to 507 of the family's 1533-position model. The record is from RNAcentral.
GAUGAACGCUGGCGGCGUGCCUAAUACAUGCAAGUCGAGCGAACAGACGAGGAGCUUGCUCCUCUGACGUUAGCGGCGGACGGGUGAGUAACACGUGGAUAACCUACCUAUAAGACUGGGAUAACUUCGGGAAACCGGAGCUAAUACCGGAUAAUAUAUUGAACCGCAUGGUUCAAUAGAGAAAGACGGUUUUGCUGUCACUUAUAGAUGGAUCCGCGCCGCAUUAGCUAGUUGGUACGGUAACGGCUUACCAAGGCAACGAUGCGUAGCCGACCUGAGAGGGUGAUCAGCCACACUGGAACUGAGACACGGUCCAGACUCCUACGGGAGGCAGCAGUAGGGAAUCUUCCGCAAUGGGCGAAAGCCUGACGGAGCAACGCCGCGUGAGUGAUGAAGGUCUUCGGAUCGUAAAACUCUGUUAUUAGGGAAGAACAAAUGUGUAAGUAACUAUGCACGUCUUGACGGUACCUAAUCAGAAAGCCACGGCUAACUACGUG